RNAcentral lists this ribosomal RNA (533 nucleotides) under uncultured bacterium. RNAcentral describes it as "bacterial SSU rRNA". It matches the Rfam family "Bacterial small subunit ribosomal RNA", at positions 8 to 526 of the family's 1533-position model. The record is from RNAcentral.
AGAGUUUGAUCAUGGCUCAGGAUGAACGCUGGCGGCGUGCCUAAUACAUGCAAGUCGAACGAGAUGCUUUUGUAGCAAUACGAGAGUAUUCUAGUGGCGAACGGGUGAGUAACGCGUUGGUGACCUACCCCAAAGUGUGGGAUAACAGUCCGAAAGGAUUGCUAAUACCGCAUGUGGUCUUCGGAUUUAGAAACUGAUGACUAAAGGAGCAAUUCGCUUUGGGAGGGACCUGCGUCCCAUCAGCUAGUUGGUGAGGUAAUGGCUCACCAAGGCGACGACGGGUAGGGGACCUGAGAGGGUGGCCCCCCACAAUGGAACUGAAACACGGUCCAUACACCUACGGGUGGCAGCAGUAGGGAAUAUUGCUCAAUGGGCGAAAGCCUGAAGCAGCAACGCCGCGUGUGCGAUGAAGGCCUUCGGGUCGUAAACCACUGUCAGUGGGAAAGAAGGGCAUCGGCGCGAUAACCGCCGGUGUUUGACGGUACCUGCAGAGGAAGCCCCGGCCAACUCUGUGCCAGCAGCCGCGGUAAUAC